This 494-nucleotide long non-coding RNA is filed under the name Lynx pardinus (Iberian lynx). Lineage: Eukaryota; Metazoa; Chordata; Mammalia; Carnivora; Felidae. The record is from RNAcentral.
ACCACCAAGGCCUCACGCACCUUUGCAGUGAACCGCAAUCGCCCCAUCCGUGUUCUCGCAGAUGUUCAGGAACCUUCGCACGAUGUUGUCACUGGGCGUGCUGCCGUCUAUGAAGAAGAGGUCAUAGUGCUCGAAGCCGGCGUCUGUGAAGCGCUUUGCCUCGUAAAUCUUUUUGUUCAGCCUCACGACUGCAGUCACGUUAUGCUUUUUGAAAUAAGGAAAGUAGGCUUCAGGGGCGUGCAGAGGAUAGCCUGAAGAGAAAACGGAGCUGUAAGCACAAGGCAGGCGUUCCACCUUCCACACCCAGAAGCACAAAAGCCCUUCACAAUAAAGUUCAUGAAUCUCAACAGAGCCUAGGAAGAAAGUGCAUUUCCCAAGAGGUCGAAGCACAUUCCUAAGGCAGCAGCAGUCUGAAUAACUGGAAGAAAAAAAAAAAAAAAAAAAAAACCACCACAGGAGAGGAAAAACCUUUUCUGAGUAUUGGAAAUAGCUCA